RNAcentral lists this ribosomal RNA (265 nucleotides) under uncultured archaeon. RNAcentral's name for it is "partial 16S ribosomal RNA". It matches the Rfam family "Archaeal small subunit ribosomal RNA", at positions 717 to 982 of the family's 1478-position model. The record is from RNAcentral.
ACACGACUACAUUAGAUACCCCUGUAGUCCCAGCCCUAAACGAUGCGCGUUAGGUGUAUCGGUGACCACGAGUCACCGAGGUGCCGAAGGGAAACCGUGAAACGUGCCGCCUGGGAAGUACGGUCGCAAGGCUGAAACUUAAAGGAAUUGGCGGGGGAGCACCACAACAGGUAGAGCCUGCGGUUUAAUUGGACUCAACGCCGGGAAGCUCACCGGAUAGGACAGCAGAAUGAUUGCCGGGCUGAAGACCCUGCAUGACUAGCUG